This 322-nucleotide ribosomal RNA is filed under the name uncultured eukaryote. Its description in RNAcentral is "partial 18S ribosomal RNA". It matches the Rfam family "Eukaryotic small subunit ribosomal RNA", at positions 1470 to 1796 of the family's 1831-position model. The record is from RNAcentral.
CCCUUAGAUGUUCUGGGCCGCACGCGUGCUACACUGAGUAAUUCAAUGGGUAAGGGAACGCUAGAGCAUUACCUAAUCUUGAAAUUUGCUCGUGAUGGGGAUCGACGGUUGCAAUUUUCCGUCGUGAACGAGGAAUACCUUGUAGGCGCAUGUCAUCAUCAUGCGCCGAAUACGUCCCUGCCCUUUGUACACACCGCCCGUCGCUCCUACCGAUUGAGUGAUCCGGUGAGGCUCUGGGACCUGGACGGAAAGAGCGUUUCGCUUGUUCUGUUUGGGAAACUUGGUCGAACCUUAUCAUUUAGAGGAAGGAGAAGCCGUAACA